GCGAAGAACCUUACCUGGCCUUGACAUACUAAGAACUUUCCAGAGAUGGAUUGGUGCCUUCGGGAACUUAGAUACAGGUGCUGCAUGGCUGUCGUCAGCUCGUGUCGUGAGAUGUUGGGUUAAGUCCCGCAACGAGCGCAACCCUUUUCCUUAUUUGCCAGCGAGUAAUGUCGGGAACUUUAAGGAUACUGCCAGUGACAAACUGGAGGAAGGCGGGGACGACGUCAAGUCAUCAUGGCCCUUAC
This 245-nucleotide ribosomal RNA is filed under the name Acinetobacter calcoaceticus. Its description in RNAcentral is "partial 16S ribosomal RNA". It matches the Rfam family "Bacterial small subunit ribosomal RNA", at positions 961 to 1205 of the family's 1533-position model. The record is from RNAcentral. Lineage: Bacteria; Pseudomonadati; Pseudomonadota; Gammaproteobacteria; Moraxellales; Moraxellaceae.